AGAUGAAGACAUAUUAUAUAAAUAGAUCACUUUUUUAAGGCUUCUUUUGAGAGGUUUUCAAAAGCAAUCAUAGAAAUUCGGACAUACAGAAGAUCAAUUGCAACUUGCCUACUAACUAUGGCAUAAGACAUAGGAUGCAAAUAUUCUAAAUAUUGCUUCUUUUCAUCUUCAUACAUAUCUAUGAACAUAAGACAAUCUUCUUCAUUGUAUUCUUCAAAUGCACACCAAAGAUUACCCUGAAAAUGACGGUCACGAAUAUGUUUAUACCAAGCAUCAUAAUUACCAUAAAGAUUUAACCAUUGCAUAUUUUCACGAUAUUUAUUGAUAAUAUUCAUAAGAUUGACUAGUGAAUAUGAGAGAAAUAGAGAAUAGGGACUUAUUUCCUUCAAACAUAUGGCUUUGAUACCAACUAUCAGAGUGGCCAGCAUCCUUCAAGAUAUUCCCGAUCAAACACAGCCAUUCUCUCGGCUUUCAACGAUCAAGGAACUUUUAUGAAGCGACUUUGGAUACCCUUCUAGCCAUGUAUCAUUGACUUUUUUGAAGGAAAUAAAAGAAAACUUAAGCUGACAUAUUUGUAAACACUCGAAAAUUUAGAUUUGGAUAAGAGAUGACCUUCCAAAUGGAAUGAUUCAUCUAUUUAUAGUACAAAUCUUACGAACACUUUGUACAGUAAUAUGACCUUUGGGAAAACUUUCCUGAAGGGUCACUUGACUCUUUAGAAUAAAGCAUUUGACUCUUUGGAAUAAAGCAGUAAAAUGGCCGACAAUGUGACAGCCCCACCUUCCCCUAAGGCGAACCAAAGGGGUUAGCGGACUGCCUAUCCAUCUCUCGCCAGGACUAACGAGACAGUUCAAUGCGAUCUAAAAUGUUCCGGAACACACAAGCGCGCUUAAACAAGUCAAAAUUACAAAAAUAAAAAAACGAAAACUCGGAUCCGGCCUUUGCUCUCUGGCCAGUAUCCAGCUAGGAAUCCGGCCAGAUUCCGGUCGGAUUCUGAAGUGUCCGGCACUGUUCAUGUUGGCUCCGAUUUUUCAUUUUUUUUAAUUUUUGUAAUUUUGACUUGUUUAAGCGCGCUUGUGUGUUCUGGAACGUUUUAGAUCGCAUUGAACUGUCUCGUUAGUCCUGGAAAAAGUUGGGCAGGCAGUCCGCUAACUCCUUUGGUUCGCCUUAGGGGAAGGUGGGGCUGUCACAGACAACCUUUUCUGACUUUUGGGAUAUAAACAAAAACAGUAACUUAAUCAUUUUACAUACAACUUUAACUAAUGGCUGACAUCUUUAUUAUGGGUCUUCAUCAAUAAAGCUCAUCAUGUGAUCUUCAUCUGGAGUAUCUGAUGGAGUGGAAUUUGGAUCUAUGAUAUUCAUGAUCCUUUUUGUUUUUCCUUUUGUUGAUCUGUCUUUUCCAUUCAGGACGUAUCUUGUAAGAAGGUAUGGAUAGUCCGGCUUUUGACGUUUGCUGUGAAUUUUCUAUUUCAUAUGGAUCUUGAGAAUCUUGCAUAACAGAAGAAUUCAUCAUGCCUGUCCAUUGUUUUUUGGCUCUUUGGACUUUUGUCCAGUAUGGAUGGCUAUUCUGGAAAUUCCACGAGCCAUAAGGUUCUGGCCAAAUUUCAGGAGGAAUGCAUAUGUUUUCUUGGAAUAUAUAUAUCUCUGAGCUUCCCCAUAUUCAUCAUCUUGAUCUAAAAUAGUAUGAGUCAGUUCCUUAUAAAUAAUUGCACUUGGAAGGGACUGAAUUUGGUUAUUGAUGAGAUGACAAGGUCUGUGAAAAUGGAAAAGAGUAUGAUUGGAAUUUGUUGAGAAUAGACCAGACCAAUAUGGAAAAGAUUCAAAAGUUUCAGCAAGAGUUAUAAAGAUUUUCCUAAAAGAAAUGGAGGUAUUUUAAAAGGAAAGGCAAGCAGUCUCAAGGAAAGAAAGGAAACAAAUGUUUCAUAUGUGGAAAGUCGGGACAUUUUGCAAAAAAAUUGUCCUCAAAACCAAAAGGGAGUACAUCUUAUCUCAGAAAUUCAGAAUGAGCUUUAUUUUCAUAUUUCUGAUUCAGAAUCUGAAUUUUCUGAACAAGAAGAACCAACUGACUUUACUCUUUUGGCUUUACAGGUCCUUGAUGAAGUUUUUGCUGCAACUCCAGUACAAAUUGAUAAGAAAACUUAUCCUCAAGCUUUUGUUCAUAUUCUCUUGGAUAAGUAUUCUCAACCUAUUCCUCUUAUUGCAAUUUUUGAUACUGGUGGUGCUGCACUUUCCAUAAUGAAAAAAGACAUUUUACCAGAUAAGUAUUGGACUCCAUAUGUUCAUGAGAGUUACCAAAUUGAGAGUUUUCUCUUAUUCCUUGGGGAACGUCCCUUGAUACAAAGUGAGUCGAAUCUCCUUUGUUCAAGUUUUGGCUUAUCAAUUCAAGACCAUGUUGAAUUGUGGCGCCAUUCUACCAUUCUAAAUAAUCUUGAGCUGUCCUUGAUUGGUUUAGAAUCCGUCUUUUGUACCCAUAACCUAAUCAAGAUAGAUCCUUCCGCUGCUUGAUCAAUUCGAUUUCUUCUCGAGCGGUCCUUGGAGAAUCGGGUUCGUAUAAAAAACUCUCAAUUUCUGGUGCAUUAUUUGAUGAUCCAAAACAUUACCCUAGGUAGGCUAUUUAUAGCCUUACAAGUAGAAAAGCUAAUGUGAAACGGAAAAGCUAAAACAUGACAAAGUUUCCUAAAUUUUAGGACACUUAAAAUCGGCUCUCAAGGCAUCCAAGCUGGCCGAAUUAUUCCUCUAGUUGAAAUGACUAAAACAUGACUCCAAAUAACCAACUAAACUACUAAACACCAUUAUGGAUUCAGUGACAACUACUUGAACUCGGUUGAGGUCAAUCGUGAUCCUUCUUUGCUUGAAUAACAUGGACAACCUUCAAACCUUCAUGUUCGAGUCCCUCAAUGACUUUGGGGACAAUUUCUUGGCUUUGCACCUUAAGAACAAGCCCUUGAAGUUCCUUCGCAUCUUCUUAGCUCGAACUCGCAUCACGGGUCCUAGAGGAACUCGAACCUUAGCCAAUGGUAUCUCUUGAUUCAUAUUAGGGGGCCUUCGGGUUUCUUUAAGUCCACGCGAGGUGUUCGUCAAGACGAUCCGUUAUCUCCUGUCCUAUUUUUAUUUGCCGUUGAAUUUCUUGGUGUCGCGCCCCAUUUUUUGAUAAAUAAAUAAAAUGGUUUAAAAAUGUAUUUUGAUUUAAUUUAUGAUUGGAAAAUGAAUUGUGAUUUAAAAGAAAAAUGGGUCUAAAUGGGGGUUUGAAAAUGCGACGAUUUGACCCAAAAUUAUAGUUUAAAAAGGGUUUUUGAAAAAAAUGGGAGUCGCCACUUGGUAAUGAGUUAAGGUGUACCAAGUCACCUAAAAAUGGAUUUUUUAGGAAAAAGUUGUAAGAAACCCCUUUUAAACGACUCCUAAUCCACGUAAACCAAAAAAAAGGUUCGGGAGUCCAUUUGACGAAGGGGAAGGCAAGGAUAAAAAUCCAAGGCACCCCUUCGACCUAGCCAAGGCUAGUUGAAUGAUUUAAUCAAAGUUUUUCUUAUUUUAACCAAAGAAUUUAUUACAUUUGGAUGCACUACAUGAAUGCAAAAGGAAAGAAAAAAUGCAAACCUAAAUUCUAAAAUGUCUCUUGUAAGGUUUUUGGUCCCAACCACAUGAAUUGUGGCGGCCAAUAAAGGAAAACCUUAUAGAGGUCGAUUAAUGCAAAUGAUGGCUAAAGUGCAAGUGUGCAAGUGUAUAAAAAGGUGCACGUGUGAAAUUGUAUGAAAAGUCCAAGUGUUUGUGUGCAAGUGUAUGGAAAGGUGCAUGUGUGAAUUUGUAUGAAAAAUCCAAGUGUUUGUGUGCAAGUGUAUAAAAUAUAGUGAUAAGUGCAUAUAGGUGUAAUUAAGUGCAAUUUUGUGAAGUAGAAAUCAAAAUGAACAAUAAGGAAAGGAAAAGUGAUAAGGAAAUGUGAAUUGAAAAAAAUGAGUAAGUGAUAAAUGAGAAUGAAUGAACCUAAAGGAAUGCAUCAGGUCGGGUGUGGGAAUGACUCCUAACUUUUUCGACUUCGAUUUUCCCUUUGAUUAGAAGGCAAAACUAACGUGCUAAGGCUAUCGAGUAGCCACACUCGCUCGUUUCCCUUAUCGGAAGGGGACACUCAAGCAAAAUGAACCCUAUAGCUAGUAUGGGAUGCAAAACCUAAAAUGAGAGGAAAAGGGGUUUGAGGAUCAUGCCAAAUGAUAAAACUAAGAAAAAUGCGUGAUAUGUGGUGAACAAGCAAAUGAUGUACUAUCGAGGGAAAAUCCCUAAGGGUCUAGCAUUGGACUAGCCCAUUCUAUGAAUUCCGACUAGCGUUGGACUAGUGGAAACGAUAAAAGAAGCCACAACUAGCGUUGGACUAGUGUGGUGACGUACAUUCAUCCAUUCCAUUCAUCCACACUAUGGAAAGCAAGUAGACAUACUAAAUACUCAUAAACACGUAGCACGUAACAUUUAGCAUGCUCGACUAGAUGCAAGGACCUAAUAAAGCGAUUAAACACUUAACACGUAGGCAUGCAACCAACUAAUGAACCUAUUACAUUCACUAACUAAAACAAAAAGGGGAAGGGAAAAAUGGACCAAAUUGCUCGCCACAGCCCUAUCUAUUACAAGCCAAGAGGUGUACACAUACCCCAUUUAAAAGAAUAAUUUAAUAAAAGCAAGAAUGAAUGAAAUAAUGGAACUAAAGAAUGGUAAUGAGAGCAAAUUAGGCAUGCGAUUCACACUUAGCACAUUGGAUCACAUAGGAGAGACAAAAGGGAUAAAAGAAAUUAUACCUCCCUUGAAAUGAAGCUCUAAUGGAGUGAAAUCAACUUACUUACCCUCCAAAAUAAUAAAAGCAUCAAGGCAUCACUUUAAUCAAGAAAAUAAUCACAAAAGAUAAAAAUGAAUCAUGAAAUUAAAUGAAUUAAAUCAUAUAAACAAUCUACAUGCAAGAAAUUAAAACAAUGAAGGACUUGAUUGCAAUAAUUAACAAAGUUUGGAGGUCAACAUUAAAGAAAAAUCAAGUUCAGGGACCUAUUUGCAAUUAAUUUAGCGACCCAAUUGACAGCAUUGAAAGUUUGUAGGGCCCUAGUGAAAUUGAAGAAAAGUACAGGGGCUGAUCUGCAAAUUCGUUCUCUGGUUUCUUAAUGGAUCAAGCCACUUGGGCCGUUUUUCCUCAUUUGCUUGGGCUAAAACCUUCCAGGCCCAAUCGGAAAUCCAAAACAAAAGGGAAUGUGCCAUUUUCACUUUUCUUGGGCCAAGAUCACUUGACCCAAUCGGAAGCCCAAGGAAAAACAAGUAGGCUUGUAUAUUAUUUUGGCCAAAAAUUAGCCAACCAAAUAGAUGGGCCUUGACCCUCUAGCCCAAACCAAAAACCCAAAAGAAAAUAAACUAAAACCCACAUUUGCAAACCCAGUCAAAAUAUAAUUACCCAAAAAUCUAAAUCAUAAUACUAAAUCCAACAACAUAGACAAAAUCAGCAAAAAAAAAAAAAAAAUAUUGAGCCACAAUUAUGAACUAAAAUCCAGGAUUAAUCUAUCCAAAAAGUCACAUAAAAUAUGCAAACAGAGGAUUAAGCUUAAAAGGGUGAAAUUAGUUUGAUUUUUUCAGAUUGUGGGCCACAAUCAGAUUAGACAGGAAUGAGGGGUUAGAUUGCAAUUCUAAAAAAAACCCACGGAAGAACAGCUUUCUUCCUCAUUAGACAAGAGCUUCUGCAACUUGGUUAUUUACAGACCCAACUCACAAACACAAUCAAAUCUAACUUGAACUUGAACAAACAAAGCUACUACCGAAACCUUUACUUUGCAACAUGAAACCUCUAAAUUUAAACCCAAAAAAGUCAGACAAAAGAGCAUGCAAAUAUUAAAACAACAUUCUGCAAUUUUCCGGCUACAAUCCGAAAGAUGAUCAUGCAAAAUAAUGGGAACGAAUACUUAGUGAUUCGUCCACCCAAACCCACAUGAAUUCAAAAUCUUCAACUUUAUCAUAAUUCAGGCAUAGUUAUCUAUCAUCAGUGAUCCCAACAGAGAGUAUCCAGGCAAAAAAAAAAAAAAAAAAAAA
Molecule: long non-coding RNA, 6045 nt
Filed under: Coffea arabica (coffee)
Lineage: Eukaryota; Viridiplantae; Streptophyta; Magnoliopsida; Gentianales; Rubiaceae
Description: long non-coding RNA (CARA_LNC008138)
Source: RNAcentral